UGGGAGUUUAGCUCAGCUGGGAGAGCAUCUGCCUUACAAGCAGAGGGUCAGCGGUUCGAACCCGUUAACUACCAU
Molecule: transfer RNA, 75 nt
Filed under: Streptococcus parauberis
Lineage: Bacteria; Bacillati; Bacillota; Bacilli; Lactobacillales; Streptococcaceae
Description: tRNA-Val
Rfam family: tRNA
About the family: Transfer RNA (tRNA) molecules are approximately 80 nucleotides in length.
Source: RNAcentral